Molecule: long non-coding RNA, 4222 nt
Organism: Oncorhynchus masou masou (cherry salmon)
Lineage: Eukaryota; Metazoa; Chordata; Actinopteri; Salmoniformes; Salmonidae
Exons: 2
Source: RefSeq, a predicted model, not a curated record
UGAUGUUGAAGUUUCCAGUACCUCGUUGUGCAGCCCACCCACCCAUGAAGAGGCUUUUAACAUCAAAGUUUAACCUGUGGCUAAAGUAGUUCAAUUUCCGAUUGACAGUAAUAAAUGAACGGACUUUACGCACCAGUGAAAGACACCGGAUAAUCGGUAUUGUUUUAGGCUGACAAUUGGAAUUGAUGUCUCAUUACUCAUCAAUGCUAACGUCAACUGGCUGUCUAAAAUUGAUGUGAGAUGAGGCGGCUAGCGACAACAUAGCUAUUCAGCAAGCUGAAGAAUACUCAAAGGAAAGAGAAGAAAAUACUUCACUUCUCUCACUAGUUUAACGCCAAGUGGAAUUUCGUAUUUGUUUUGACGAAAUUGUGUUUAACUCGUGAGCAAAUGUCUAAAUUAUAGUUAAUCUUAGUCCAACACGCGCCACAGUUUUCCGACGCUUCAACUGGAUCAAAUAGUGACUUUUCCGCAAUGGAAUUCAAGUAAUGGGUGUGAAUUGCUGCUCGGACCUCUCUGUCUUCCCACUAUGUGGACGCGUCCCUCAGGUACCUGCUGGAGUACUACACCUACCACCUGUGUGCCUUUGACUACAGGUACCGCUACCAGCCCCCGGCCCCACUGGGCUACAAGAUGGAGGUGUGGGACAGGUCAGAGGGGGGACACACGUACUCCAAAGAGCAGCCAGCAAUCCCGAAGGGUGCCGCUGGCGAGGGCGGCGGGUGCGUCCAGGACAGACAGGAAACAGGAAGUGAUGCCUCCUGCUGCUGCAGGGGAGAAGAACCCACCUGCUGCUGCUCAGGAUGACUAGCAGUAGCAGCCAUGUGUGUGUGUGUGUGCGUAUGCUUGCCAUUUGAGCGUGCAUGUUUUACACAUCUGUGCAAAUCACCCGCACAAAAGUGAAGAGACGGUGCAAACUGUGGUGCCUCCAAAUAAGUGUUCUGUUGUGAAGGAUCUGCAAAGAAUUUCUGCUGUGAUUGCAAGAUUGGCCUUUUGGCUGUAAGUUGGUUGGGUUGUCACUGCAGCAACCCCAUCCCUUUUUAGUCCUUGUUUUAUAUUUAACAUGAAUGUUAGCUCAUACCAGUUUUAAUCCAUGUUGUUUUAAUUAUCUCAGUUCCUUAACCACUUUCUUAAGACGCAUGAAAUAAUUAUUGGAUGAUUUACUGGCUGAUUUUUGGAUUAGCUUCGCAUACCCUAGUCAAAACCUAAGCUACUUGGGGUUGAAAACCAAGCCUGGUCUUAGAUCUGCAUUAAUACCUGUAGAGACGGGUGAAAAGAGUAUCUGUAAUUAGACGUGGGAAAAAAACAGCAGUUCUUUCAGCCUCACUGAUUCCCCCCCCCCCCACUCCUUUUGGAGGGAGAAAGAGGAAUCCUAGCAGACCUGGCUUUCCCUAUUCUCUAUCAGACCCAGUAGCUUGUGCCUUGUAAAUCAUGAUUGUAAGCCCCGUCAGCUGCACAUUUUGACACUGCACUGUGACAAGUCUAAGAAUGAUCUUUUCAGAGAGGAGAUAUCUCAUUGUUUAUACAUUCCACAGAUCUCGGCCAAUAGGAAGGCCUUAUGUUGGGAGGUAGAGAUGCCUUUUGGACAUGUCGCUUGAACCUACCUGUGCAUGAUCAAUUCAGCUAUCUCUGUUGGAUUAGGUAAUAUUUCGUUCAUUUGUUUUAUUUAUACUGAACCAAAAUGUAAACGCAACAUGUAAAGUGUUGGUCCCAUCUUACAUGAGCUUAAAUAAAUGUUCCAUACGCACAAAAAGCUUAUUUCUCUAAAAUGUGUUUACAUCCCUGUUAGUGAACAUUUUUCCUUUGCUAAGGUGAUUCAUCCACUUGAUAGGUGUGGCAUAUCAAAAAGUUGAUUAAACAGCAUGAUAAUUACACAAGUGCACCUUGGCAGUACGUCCAACCGGUUUCACAACCACAGAACACUUGUAACCACACCCGCCCAGGACCUCAACAUCUGGCUUCUUCACCUGCGGAAUCGUCUGAGACCAGCCCCCCGGACAGCUGAUGAAAGAAAUUUGUAUUUCUAUCUGUAAUAAUUUCCCCUGUGUGGGAGAACUCAUUCUGAUUGUCUGGGCCUUGCUCUCCCAUGGCUGUGCCCCUGCCCUGUCAUGUGAAAUCCAUAGAUUAGGGCCUAAUUCAUUUAUUUAAAUGAACUGAUUUCCUUAUAAGAACUGUAAUGCCAUAAAAUCAGUGAAAUUGUUGCAUUUAUAUUUUUGUUCAGAAUACAGUGCCUUCAGAAAGUAUUCAGACCCAUUAACUUUUUUCACAUUUAGUUUUUUUCCUCAUCAAUCUGCACACACUAUCCCAUAAUGACAAAGCAAAAACUGUUUUUUAGAUAUGUUUUUUAAAAUUUGUAAUAAAUUAGCAAAAAUCACAGUAAGUAUUCAGACCCUUUACUCAGUACUUUGAAGCACUUUUGGCAGCAAUUACAGCAUCGAGUCUUCUCGGGGAUGACGUUACAAGCUUGGCACACCUGUAUUUGGGGAGUUUCUCCCAUUUCUUCUUUGCAGAUCUUCUCAAGCUCUGUCAGGUUGGAUGGGGAGUGUUGCUGCACAGCUGAAAAACAUCCCCACAGUCUGAUGCUGCACCCCCAUGCUUCAACUUAGGGAUGGUGCCAUGUUUCCUCCAGAUGUGACGCUUGGCAUUGAGGCCAAAUAGUUCAAUUCUGGUUUCAUCAGACCAGAGAAUCUCUUGUUUCUCAUGGUCUAAGAGUCUUUUGGUGCCAUUUGGCAUACUCCAAGCUGGCUGUCAUCUGCCUUUUACUGAGGAGUGGCUUCCGUCUGGCCACUCUACCAUAAAGGCCUGAUUGGUGGAGUGCUGCAGAGAUGGUUGUCCUUCCUAAAGGUUCUCCCAUCUCCACAGAGGAGCUCUGUCAGAGUGACCGAGACCCUUCUCCGAUUGCUCAGUUUGGCCGGGCGGUCAGCUCUAGAAAGAGUCUUGGUGGAUCCAGACUUCUUAAUUUAAGAAUGAUGGAGACCACUGUGUUCUUGGGGUCCAUCAAUGCUGCAGAAAUGUUUUGGUACCUUUCCCCAGCUCUGUGCCUCAACGCAAUUCUGUUUCUGACCUCUACGGACAAUUCCUUCAACCUCAUGGCUUGGCUUUUGCUCUGACAUGCGCUGUCAACUGUGGGGUCUUCUAUAUAGACAGGUGUGUGCCUUUCCAAAUCAUGUCCAAUCAAUUGAAUUUACCACAGGUGGACUCCAAGUUGUAGAAACAUCUUAAGGGUGAUCAAUGGAAACAGGAUGCUCCUGAGCUCAAUUUAGAGUCUCAUAGCGGAGGGUAUGAGUACUUCUGUAUAGGUAUUUCUAUUUUUUAAUAAUAAAUUAGCAAAAAUGUCAAACCUUUUUUCACCUUGCCAUUAUGGGGUAUUGUGUGUGUGGAUUGCUGUGGAUAAUUUCUUUAAAAAAAAUCAAUUUUAGAAUAAGGCUUUAACAAAAUGUGGAAAAAGUUAAGGGGUCUGAAUACUUUCCCGAGGGCACUGUAUAUGGAGGAUUGUCAGGGAUUGUGGUGCUUCUACAUACACAGAGUUUUAUUACAGAUAGAAAUACUCCUCAGUUUCUUCAGCUGUCCGGUUGGCUGGUCUGACGAUCCUUCAGGUGAUGCUGGAUUUGGAGAUCUUGGGCUGGUAUGGUUACACGUGGUCUGUAGUUGUGAGGCCAGUUUGACAUACUACCAAAUUCUCAAAAACGACGUUGGAGGUGGCUUAAGGUAGACUAAUGAACAUUCAAUUCUCUGGCAACAGCUCUGGUGGACAUUCCUGCAGUCAGCAUGCCAACUUCCUGCUCCCUCAAAACGUGAGACAUAUGUGGCAUUGUGUUGUGACAAAACUGCACAUUUUAGCAGCUCUGUGUAAUGAUCAUACUGUUUAAUCAGCUUCUUGAUAUGCCACACCUGUCGGGUGGAUGGAUUAUCUUGGCAAAGGAGAAAUGCUCACUAACACGGAUGUAAACAAAUUUGUUCACAAAAUUGGAGAGAAGGAAGCUUUUUGUGCAUAUGGAACAUUUCUGGGAUCUUUUAUUUCAGCUCAUGAAACAUGGGACCAACACUUUAAAUGUUGCGUUCUAUAUUUUGGUUCUGUGUAGUUUACAUUCUUGUCAAAGGGAACAGUGUACAGGACUCUGUUUUAUUUAUGUAUAUGUAUGUUUAAGAAGAGUUAGAGUUAAAUGUAAUCAAUUUAAUGAAAAGUGCUUUAACCAGCAUAUUAAAGAAAGACAUUUUACUUUUA